UACAGAGGGGGCAAGCGUUAUUCGGAAUUAUUGGGCGUAAAGGGCGCGUAGGCGGCCUUUCAAGUGACGGGUGAAAUCCCUCGGCUUAACCGAGGAACUGCCUGUCAGACUGGAAGGCUUGAGACCGGGAGAGGUGAGUGGAAUUCCCAGUGUAGCGGUGAAAUGCGUAGAUAUUGGGAGGAACACCAGUGGCGAAGGCGGCUCACUGGACCGGUACUGACGCUGAGGCGCGAAAGCGUGGGGAGCAAACAGG
This 253-nucleotide ribosomal RNA is filed under the name uncultured bacterium. Its description in RNAcentral is "partial 16S ribosomal RNA". It matches the Rfam family "Bacterial small subunit ribosomal RNA", at positions 524 to 776 of the family's 1533-position model. The record is from RNAcentral.